RNAcentral lists this ribosomal RNA (245 nucleotides) under uncultured bacterium. Its description in RNAcentral is "partial 16S ribosomal RNA". It matches the Rfam family "Bacterial small subunit ribosomal RNA", at positions 113 to 353 of the family's 1533-position model. The record is from RNAcentral.
ACACGUGGGUAACCUGCCUUAUAGUGGGGGAGUAGCCUUUCGAAAGGAAGAUUAAUACCGCAUAAGAUUGUAGUAUCGCAUGAUAUAGCAAUUAAAGGAGCAAUCCGCUAUAAGAUGGACCCGCGUCGCAUUAGCUAGUUGGUGAGGUAAUGGCUCACCAAGGCGACGAUGCGUAGCCGACCUGAGAGGGUGAACGGCCACAUUGGGACUGAGACACGGCCCAGACUCCUACGGGAGGCAGCAUG